UAAGUACACUAGGGGUGUUCUUUAGAAGAACUGAGAUAAGCUUUUGCAGCUUAAUCCCUUCGAACCUGUAAGUCAAAACUUGCGUAGGAAAGUGUGAAGAAGGACCC
Molecule: regulatory RNA element, 107 nt
Rfam family: TPP riboswitch aptamer (THI element)
About the family: Vitamin B(1) in its active form thiamin pyrophosphate (TPP) is an essential coenzyme that is synthesised by coupling of pyrimidine and thiazole moieties in bacteria.
Source: Rfam